Molecule: transfer RNA, 73 nt
Filed under: Bacteroidota bacterium
Lineage: Bacteria; Pseudomonadati; Bacteroidota
Description: tRNA-Trp
Rfam family: tRNA
About the family: Transfer RNA (tRNA) molecules are approximately 80 nucleotides in length.
Source: RNAcentral
ACGUGUGUGGCUCAAUGGCUAGAGCAGCGGUCUCCAAAACCGCAGGUUGGGGGUUCGAGUCCCUCCACACGUG